UCGUGCCACCACGGGAGUCCGGUGAACCGGGCUGAGAGGAAGGUAUUCGCCUUCGACCGUCGAACCUGAUCUGGAUCAUGCCAGCGCAGGGAGACCAUUUCUCGCUAUC
Molecule: non-coding RNA, 109 nt
Filed under: Plantibacter sp. Leaf314
Lineage: Bacteria; Bacillati; Actinomycetota; Actinomycetes; Micrococcales; Microbacteriaceae
Also listed under: 2 other names
Description: TPP riboswitch aptamer (THI element)
Rfam family: TPP riboswitch aptamer (THI element)
About the family: Vitamin B(1) in its active form thiamin pyrophosphate (TPP) is an essential coenzyme that is synthesised by coupling of pyrimidine and thiazole moieties in bacteria.
Source: Rfam by way of RNAcentral